Stegostoma tigrinum is the source of this 554-nucleotide long non-coding RNA. RefSeq lists it as uncharacterized. The transcript is spliced from 3 exons. NCBI's taxonomy places the organism in Eukaryota, Metazoa, Chordata, Chondrichthyes, Orectolobiformes, Stegostomatidae. The record is from RefSeq and is a predicted model, not a curated record.
ACUUGGGAGGUCCUUGGGGACUCAGAAGUGUGGGGAAGCUGCCGAACGGUCUCUCCGACCCAAAGAUCCAGACAGCAGGAAAUAAUUUAAAGUUGAAGGAGGUGUGGAGGACUGUUCAAGAAAACUGCGCAGCGGGCUAAGGGACAAAUAAGCGAAAAAGAUUGGUUGAAGUAAAAUUCCACGUAGUAAUCGAGAGACCGCACCGGGGUUGGAGAUUUUCAUACGGUGCUGUGAUUCAGAUUCGGUACGGACCGAUUUUGGACAGCGGUGUAAGCGCCUCGAGUCCUCCACUAUUGAGUGUAGAGGAAUCGGCCGGCCAGACAUGCUGCCAGACACAGCGAAAGGCUGAUUUAAACAAUUAUAUACACAAAUUGUUGGUAAAUUGAAUGAUGCUUACCCAGACUCCGUGGAUCAUAGAACCCUGUGGUUAUAAUUCCACCAUUCUUUUCAACUGCAGCUAUAGCAAGUUCUGAUGCCCACUGGACUUCAAUGUUUACCUUUGCUACAAAGUUGUCAGCCCCCUAUAAGAAAUUAAGCAAGAGCUGUGGGGAUUG